AUUGAACGCUGGCGGCAUGCCUUACACAUGCAAGUCGAACGGCAGCACGGGAGCAAUCCUGGUGGCGAGUGGCGAACGGGUGAGUAAUAUAUCGGAACGUGCCCAGUCGUGGGGAUAACGUAGCGAAAGCUACGCUAAUACCGCAUACGAUCUAUGGAUGAAAGCGGGGGAUCGCAAGACCUCGCGCGAUUGGAGCGGCCGAUAUCAGAUUAGGUAGUUGGCGAGGUAAAGGCUCACCAAGCCGACGAUCUGUAGCUGGUCUGAGAGGACGACCAGCCACACUGGGACUGAGACACGGCCCAGACUCCUACGGGAGGCAGCAGUGGGAAUUUUGGACAAUGGGCGCAAGCCUGAUCCAGCAAUGCCCGCGUGCAGGAUGAAGGCC
RNAcentral lists this ribosomal RNA (385 nucleotides) under uncultured bacterium. RNAcentral's name for it is "bacterial SSU rRNA". It matches the Rfam family "Bacterial small subunit ribosomal RNA", at positions 30 to 416 of the family's 1533-position model. The record is from RNAcentral.